This 750-nucleotide ribosomal RNA is filed under the name uncultured bacterium. Its description in RNAcentral is "bacterial SSU rRNA". It matches the Rfam family "Bacterial small subunit ribosomal RNA", at positions 61 to 808 of the family's 1533-position model. The record is from RNAcentral.
GUCGAGGGAGAUUGUUGGAUUCGUCUGACAUGAAACCGGCGCACGGGUGCGUAACACGUAUGCAACCUACCUUUAACUGGGGUAUAGCUCAGAGAAAUCUGAAUUAAUCCCCCAUAAGACUACGACAUGGCAUCAUGAUGUAGUUAAAGCUCCGGCGGUUAAGGAUGGGCAUGCGGUACAUUAGCUAGUUGGUGAGGUAAUGGCUCACCAAGGCUACGAUGUAUAGGGGGUCUGAGAGGAUGAUCCCCCACACUGGUACUGAGACACGGACCAGACUCCUACGGGAGGCAGCAGUAGGGAAUAUUGGUCAAUGGACGCAAGUCUGAACCAGCCAUGCCGCGUGAAGGAUGAAGGCCCUAUGGGUCGUAAACUUCUUUUAUUAGGGAAGAAAAAAUGGGAUGCGUCCUAUACUGACGGUACUUAAUGAAUAAGGAUCGGCUAACUUCGUGCCAGCAGCCGCGGUAAGACGAAGGAUCCAAGCGUUGUCCGGAUUUACUGGGUUUAAAGGGUGCGUAGGCGGAAAAUUAAGUCAGUGGUGAAAGCCCGCAGCUCAACUGUGGAACUGCCAUUGAAACUGGUUUUCUUGAAUAUAGCUGAGGCAGAUGGAAUACAACAUGUAGCGGUGAAAUGCUUAGAUAUGUUAUAGAACACCGAUUGCGAAGGCAGUCUGCUAAACUAUUAUUGACGCUGAGGCACGAAAGCGUGGGGAGCGAACAGGAUUAGAUACCCUGGUAGUCCACGCCCUAAACG